This 486-nucleotide ribosomal RNA is filed under the name uncultured bacterium. RNAcentral's name for it is "partial 16S ribosomal RNA". It matches the Rfam family "Bacterial small subunit ribosomal RNA", at positions 30 to 507 of the family's 1533-position model. The record is from RNAcentral.
AUUGAACGCUGGCGGCAUGCCUUACACAUGCAAGUCGAACGGCAGCACGGGUGCUUGCACCUGGUGGCGAGUGGCGCACGGGUGAGUAAUACAUCGGAACAUGUCCUGUAGUGGGGGAUAGCCCGGCGAAAGCCGGAUUAAUACCGCAUACGAUCUACGGAUGAAAGCGGGGGACCUUCGGGCCUCGCGCUAUAGGGUUGGCCGAUGGCUGAUUAGCUAGUUGGUGGGGUAAAGGCCUACCAAGGCGACGAUCAGUAGCUGGUCUGAGAGGACGACCAGCCACACUGGGACUGAGACACGGCCCAGACUCCUACGGGAGGCAGCAGUGGGGAAUUUUGGACAAUGGGCGAAAGCCUGAUCCAGCAAUGCCGCGUGUGUGAAGAAGGCCUUCGGGUUGUAAAGCACUUUUGUCCGGAAAGAAAUACUUGGCCCUAAUACGGUCGGGGGAUGACGGUACCGGAAGAAUAAGCACCGGCUAACUACGUG